UACGCCCACGUUAAACCAAACAGCCUACACAUUUUUAGCCAAAGACUGUUAGGGGAAAACACAGACUUAAAACGCAACUGGAGUAAAGCUGCUUUGUCCACCAAUCGUAAGCUUGCGUUAGUUCAUUUCUGUAGACAACAAAAUUAGUCAUCAGUCAAAUUUGGUCGAUAACAGUGAAUAAGUGGCCCUGCGCACCAUACCCGCACGGGAUACGUAGACCUACAUAUACAACAUCGGCCUGUUGCGCGGGUGUGAGUGAGCAUUAUCAUUUCCUGCGGCAUCUGUGUGAGCACGGCUGAUGUUCUGAAGUCCUCCAUCUGUACGUAUAGGCAGACUGCAUUAUCGAUUUUUUCAGCCCAGUAAAAUUUGCAGUUUGCACUUUCAUCAGUUGCAGAUAAUUGCAUUGAGUGCCGGGUUAGCUCGUAGUAGAAGCGUGGUCACACCAGAGACAUCAAAAUGCCUGAAAUCUCCGUUCCAAAGGUGAAAAGGCCCAGCAAGUGCAAGCUGUGUUUACUGCGAUGUUUCGCUUGCUGCUGUCCGUGCAUGAAGCCGCGGCUACCAGGCCAGAAAAAGAAAUGUUGCUGCUGCUGACACCAGAUACGUGAGAAUGGAUUCUGCCGUAUCGAAUCAUACGGUAAUCAAUCCAGUACUACGAUAACUCAACCACACUAGUAACAGCAACGACCAGGUUUCAACUUCCGAGUGAUGCAAGGACAAAGGAGAAAGUUGCAUGGUGCUGAGAAUUUUAUCGUUCCGUGAUUUAUUGUAUAUUUAAUUUUUAUUUCUUUUUUAGUGUGUCGGCUGUAACAGAAAAACACUGUUUUAUCACUCAUCUUUGGUGCACUUCAGCGAUAUUUGGCCAUGUUCCCACCACAAGUGUCCCAUUGUGCAGUCUAUGCAUUCGGCAGCGUUUCAAAUAAAAGUGUAUGUAUGUAACGGUCGAUUCAUUUCAAACAAUUGAAUAUUGGACCUUCCAUUCGAUCGAAUAUUUGAAAUGUGGUCGUAUUAAAUCGGAACAAAUACGCACACUGAAAAAUACGCCUAUUUGUUUUUUACAACAAACAUGAAGGAAAGAAAUUGCCGUCUAUUUGGGGCAUGCAUUCAGCUAUCUGUAGUUUUACUUGUAUAAUAUCUUGAAAUAUGCUUUUAGAAUGUAAAAUCUUGUAAACCACACUUUACUUGAACCUGUCCUUUUUUAUUUGCACCUCCGAGUACAAUUGACUUUGAAAACAAACAUUUGAAUUUCGGCAAACCAUUGAAUGAAUAUUUGAUCAACCAUCGACUAUGCAAAUAAUCGAUACAGCUCUAUGUGUGAUAGGUGAAAUUAUAAGUAUAGCUUGACGAUAUUAUUAAAUUGUAGCCCAUUGUGUAAUUGAUUUUAGAAAUUGUUACUGAGGAAUAGUGAUAAACGUGAUAAGUAGAUAGGUUUAACUUUAUGCAAUCAAUCCUUUCAACACUUUCUUUCCUUGCGAGGGAACAAACAUUGCUCAGGAUAUCAUUUUUAAUACAUGUUUUAAAUUCUUUUUUAUUUUAUCUUUUGGCUGUGUCGUCUUUUGUGUUGCCAUCAAGUUAUCAAGUGAAGUCAAAUUAAUGCUGUAUCCUUAUGCUUUACGAGGAAUUAAAUACCGGAAGUGUGAAUGAAACAACUCACAUAAUUAACCGGUUCUUGUUGCAUCAUCA
Molecule: long non-coding RNA, 1680 nt
Organism: Acanthaster planci (crown-of-thorns starfish)
Lineage: Eukaryota; Metazoa; Echinodermata; Asteroidea; Valvatida; Acanthasteridae
Source: RefSeq, a predicted model, not a curated record